This 253-nucleotide ribosomal RNA is filed under the name uncultured bacterium. RNAcentral's name for it is "partial 16S ribosomal RNA". It matches the Rfam family "Bacterial small subunit ribosomal RNA", at positions 524 to 776 of the family's 1533-position model. The record is from RNAcentral.
UACGAAGGGGGCUAGCGUUGCUCGGAAUCACUGGGCGUAAAACGCACGUAGGCGGCUUGUUAAGUCAGGGGUGAAAUCCUGGAGCUCAACUCCAGAACUGCCUUUGAUACUGGCGAGCUUGAGUUCGGGAGAGGUGAGUGGAACUGCGAGUGUAGAGGUGAAAUUCGUAGAUAUUCGCAAGAACACCAGUGGCGAAGGCGGCUCACUGGCCCGAUACUGACGCUGAGGUGCGAAAGCGUGGGGAGCAAACAGG